GGCGGACGGCGCCAGCUACCUGUCGGCGCGGCCCUACUGCCGGGCGCUCCGGCGCAGGACGGGCAGCAUCUCCAGCUCGCUCCCCAAGGUGUUCGCGCUCGGCUCCUUCCUCCAGCGCCUCGACUCCUCCCGCCACCACCAUCACCACCACCACCCCGACGAGGUCGUCCACGACCACGACCUCGCCGGCGAGGACAAGGACACCGACGCCGACGACGCCACCUCCGUCGCCAGCCUCGACG
Molecule: long non-coding RNA, 242 nt
Filed under: Hordeum vulgare
Lineage: Eukaryota; Viridiplantae; Streptophyta; Magnoliopsida; Poales; Poaceae
Description: long non-coding RNA (HVUL_LNC006257)
Source: RNAcentral